This 72-nucleotide transfer RNA is filed under the name Pangasianodon gigas (Mekong giant catfish). RNAcentral's name for it is "tRNA-Glu". It matches the Rfam family "tRNA". Rfam says of the family: Transfer RNA (tRNA) molecules are approximately 80 nucleotides in length. Their secondary structure includes four short double-helical elements and three loops (D, anti-codon, and T loops). The record is from RNAcentral. Lineage: Eukaryota; Metazoa; Chordata; Actinopteri; Siluriformes; Pangasiidae.
UUGCUGGAGGACUAGUGGUUAGGCUUCAGUGCUCUCACCACUGCGGCCCGGGUUCGAUUCCUGGCUAGGGAA